AAUAAGGGAGCCGUAGAGAAAUCGAGUCUGAAUAGGGCGAUAGUCGCUGGGAGUAGACCCGAAACCGGGCGAUCUAGCCAUGUGCAGGAUGAAGGUUGGGUAACACCAACUGGAGGUCCGAACCGGGUAAUGUUGAAAAAUUAUCGGAUGACGUGUGGCUAGGAGUGAAAGGCUAAUCAAGCCCGGAGAUAGCUGGUUCUCCCCGAAAGCUAUUUAGGUAGCGCCUCGUGAAUGAUUACUGGGGGUAGAGCACUGUUUCGGCUAGGGGGCUGUCAUGGCUUACCAAACCGAUGCAAACUCCGAAUACCGGCUAAUUGAAUCACGGGAGACACACGGCGGGUGCUAACGUCCGUCGUGGAGAGGGAAACAACCCAGACCGCCAGCUAAGGUCCCCAAGUACUAGUUAAGUGGGAAACGAUGUGGGAAGGCAUAGACAGCCAGGAGGUUGGCUUAGAAGCAGCCACCCUUUAAAGAAAGCGUAAUAGCUCACUGGUCGAGUCGGCCUGCGCGGAAGAUGUAACGGGGCUAAAACUAGUCACCGAAGCUGCGGAUGUGCGCGAAAGCGCACGUGGUAGGGGAGCGUUCUGUAGGCUGAUGAAGGUGCAUUGAGAAGUGUGCUGGAGGUAUCAGAAGUGCGAAUGCUGACAUGAGUAACGAUAAUGUGGGUGAAAAGCCCACACGCCGGAAGUCCCAGGUUUCCUGCACGACGUUAAUCGGAGCAGGGUGAGUCGGCCCCUAAGGCGAGGCUGAAGAGCGUAGUCGAUGGGAACCAGGUUAAUAUUCCUGGACUUUUUAUAAGUGGUGAAGUGGGGACGAAGAAGGCUAGGUGAGCCAGGCGUUGGUUGUCCUGGUACUUGCAUGUAGGGGGGAAGACUUGGCAAAUCCGGUUUUCCAUAACUCUGAGGUGCGAAGUGGUUCUGACCUUUUGGUACAGAGAAGUCAUUGAUGCCCGGCUUCCAGGAAAAGCUGCUAGCCAUAACUUAUAGAGAACCGUACCGCAAACCGACACAGGUGGACAGGUAGAGAAUACUAAGGCGCUUGAGAGAACUCGGGUGAAGGAACUAGGCAAAAUGGUACCGUAACUUCGGGAGAAGGUACGCCCUUUUGGGUGAGGGCAUUUACUGUCUGAGCUUAAGAGGGCCGCAGAGACCAGGUGGCUGCGACUGUUUAUUAAAAACACAGCACUCUGCAAAUUCGUAAGAAGACGUAUAGGGUGUGACGCCUGCCCGGUGCCGGAAGGUUAAUUGAUGGGGUUAUCUUCGGAGAAGCUCUUGAUCGAAGCCCCGGUAAACGGCGGCCGUAACUAUAACGGUCCUAAGGUAGCGAAAUUCCUUGUCGGGUAAGUUCCGACCUGCACGAAUGGCGUAACGAUGGCCACACUGUCUCCACCCGAGACUCAGUGAAAUUGAAAUCGCUGUGAAGAUGCAGUGUACCCGCGGCUAGACGGAAAGACCCCGUGAACCUUUACUAUAGUUUUGCACUGGACUUUGAUGAUGACUGUGUAGGAUAGGUGGGAGGCUGUGAAGUGAGGACGCUAGUUCUCAUGGAGCCGCCCUUGAAAUACCACCCUGUUGUUAUUGAGGUUCUAACUUGGUCCAGUAAUCCUGGAUGAGGACAGUGUAUGAUGGGUAGUUUGACUGGGGCGGUCUCCUCCCAAAGAGUAACGGAGGAGCACAAAGGUACCCUCGGUACGGUCGGACAUCGUACCAAGAGUGUAAAGGCAAAAGGGUGCUUGACUGCGAGAGUGACGGCUCGAGCAGGAACGAAAGUUGGUCUUAGUGAUCCGGUGGUUCUGAAUGGAAGGGCCAUCGCUCAACGGAUAAAAGGUACUCCGGGGAUAACAGGCUGAUACCGCCCAAGAGUUCAUAUCGACGGCGGUGUUUGGCACCUCGAUGUCGGCUCAUCACAUCCUGGGGCUGAAGCAGGUCCCAAGGGUAUGGCUGUUCGCCAUUUAAAGUGGUACGCGAGCUGGGUUUAGAACGUCGUGAGACAGUUCGGUCCCUAUCUGCCGUGGGCGUAGGAAAAUUGAGAGGAGCUGCUCCUAGUACGAGAGGACCGGAGUGGACGAACCUCUGGUGCACCGGUUGUCACGCCAGUGGCAUGGCCGGGUAGCUAAGUUCGGACGGGAUAACCGCUGAAAGCAUCUAAGCGGGAAGCCUCCCUCAAGAUGAGUUUUCCCAUGAAGCCCGUUGAAGACUACGACGUUGAUAGGCAAGGUGUGGAAGCGCAGUAAUGCGUGAAGCUAACUUGUACUAAUUGGCUGAUUGUCUUGACCAUAUAAUCUGAG
This 2287-nucleotide ribosomal RNA is filed under the name Legionella pneumophila. Its description in RNAcentral is "partial 23S ribosomal RNA". It matches the Rfam family "Bacterial large subunit ribosomal RNA", at positions 656 to 2925 of the family's 2925-position model. Lineage: Bacteria; Pseudomonadati; Pseudomonadota; Gammaproteobacteria; Legionellales; Legionellaceae. The record is from RNAcentral.